CGUACAGGGAGGUAUUUCUCUCCUUCUAUCUCUUUCUUUUGUCUCUUUCUCUCUCUCUCUCUCUCUCUAAUCGUGUGAAGUAGAAUGAUGGAGAUGUUGGUGAAGUAGUGUGUGGAGCUAAGAAGGAUUUCAGCAGCAGGUUAUUUUGGUGGAGUAGAGAAAUUUGAGGUAAGUUGUGUUAAAGAUAUGCCUUCUUUUUUGGUUUGGUUCAUACACCGGAUUUAUGGAAAAAUAAAAAGGAUCUCAUAAGGAUUUAUUUUUGGUGGAUCCUAAUUUAAAUUGGAAUCCUAGAUAGACUAGGAUUGGUUUCCAUAUAAUACUCUAUAUUCAAUAAUCAUAUUGAAUUAGAGUAGGAUUGAGCCAAAUCCCUCUCUAUAUAUACAUGCAUAUGCAUGUACGGCUUGGUGAGGCGUGUGGUUAAAUUAAUUAGCAUUCACAGUCCGGCUAAUUAAUACACGGUGUCUCCUGUGGCCAUACGGGCGGAAGAGGCUGAGGAAGAGGCUUAAUUAAUUAGCCAUCGUGGACCGUACGGCUUCGGGUGCAUAGAAGCAAAUUAAUUAGCAUAAGGUGUAUUGGCUAAUUAAUUAACAUAGCACCAUCCGUACGGCAUAAGAAGGCUGCACCUUUGCAUGCGACGUCGGAUCGGAGUCGGCAGCAGGAGCGACGGUUCUCGACCAAUUGCCUGAGCGGUUCGGAUUCUUCGAAGCAACGGCAUAAAGGAAUUUGGUUAGAGUUUCUAUACUUCUCUAAUUUUGGUCUUCUCGGUUUUACGAAAAGCAUUUUCUGGUAUUUUCUUGGAGUUUUCGUUGGAACAAGAAAAUGUGGAAUUCACUAUAAGGUUCUUGGUUUUUUUAUCCGAAGAAGACAUAAGGUGUAAGCUUGUACUUCUAUUUCUUCAUAUAGUGGAAUACAUCUCUCUCGCUCUUCCCGUGGACGUAGGCAAUUGCCGAACCACGUAAAUCUUGGUUUCUUCUUUCUGCAUUUAUUUCUUUUACCGUUCGGUCGAUUUUCUCUAUUUUUCGUGCAUCUUUGUUGGUAGCACAUGACGGACGAUCCAUCCGGUUCCCAACAAGUUGAUGAUGCCUUUUUGGUUAGAGAUUAUCUUAAUUACCUUAGAAAGAGAUUAAGCCUUGGUUUCUUAGGUGCUAGAAGUGUAGCUGCCAUAGAAACCUAAGGAAGAAGCUUUGAAUGGAGUUGAAAGAUUGGAGGAAUUAAAGUUCUCGGCUGAGAGGAAAGUUCUUUGAGCAGAAAAUUUGGCCCGUUGGAGAGGAAAACUUGAGGUAAGAUGGCUGUGAUUUCUUGCUUAGAAUUGUGCUACUUACCCUAGAAAGGUUUGGAUAACAGAUGUUUUAUAGUUACUAUAACUUAUAUUACUAUGUGAACGUAGAAAUGAUGUUAUAAGCAGCUUGUGUAUAUAAGUUUGGGUUGAAGUAAAACUUGGGCUGUACUUGUCAGAAUUUAUGUUGCUUAACCUAAAGGAGAAAUUAGGUUAGAGUUUCUUAGGUUCUAAGCUGAAAUUGCCAUGAAAGCAAUCUAAAUUAAGCUAAUUGUUGUAUGUAUAUAUGUGAAAUAAGUAACCUGAGAUAAGUGGAUUUUAAUUCUUGAUUAGAGUUAUAGUAUUUACUUUAUAAAAGGAUUUCUUAAUUGCUAGAGUUUGAAGCCGCCAUGAAACCUAGAGAACAAACCCUAUGUUAUGCGUAAAAUGUCGGAUUUUCGACUACGCGGCUAAUUGUGAUCAAAUUGAUCAAAAUAAUGAGAAAAAGGAAAUUGGGUUGCUUCCGAGCUUAAUUGGUAGCUUUGGCAUAGCGUUUAGUACGUUUUGGAAGUGUUUGGAUGGACUCGGAAAGAACUAGAUGUGCAAAAGGGGCUGAAAACUGCUGCUGUCGGCUAUUGUUUAGUGCAGGGACUGAUUUGUAAACUGUUGGACUACAAUGCAGUUUUAGUCUUUUGAGGGGUUAAGAGGGCUUUAAAACAGGGUUUUUGUUGUGGGAGCUGAAAGCAACCGGUGGAACAUCGAAUUAAGGUAAAUUUGAUUAAAGAUUCAGUUAAUUACCUUUGGAGAAUAGUUAACUUGGAGUUCUAUAUAGUGUAUAAGUUGUGGAAAUGUGAAAAUUGCAUUGUGAAUCUUGUGUAGAUAAACUGAUUAGAGAAAAACUAGGGGGAAUUAAAUGUAUUCCCUGGUUUCGAUGACUUCCUUUGUUGUAUAGGAGGGUUAAACCAAGAGUUUCUAAGUAGUUGUAAAUUGUAGUAGUGUAGAAAAGCUGUAAAGAAGUAAAUUAUCAAAAUACGAGAGUUUGACUUUGUCCUGGAUCGACUAUUUGUCGAAUGGGAUGGCUUCGAAGAAGCCCAAGAUGUUAAAACGGGCCAAAGCGCGUUAACAUGGGGUCUACGAGAGCUUGGAGGCAAAAAUCUGCAAAUUGCAUAUUUUCAGCUCCAGGAGACCGGUCCCAAGUGGGGCAGACCGAUCUCCGCGCGCGCAGGUAGCCCAAACCGAGAGGGGGCAGCUCUUGGGUUUCAGCCUCCACGCAGAGGCAGACCGGUCCCAAGGGGGCAGACCGGUCUCGGAAGACCGGUUUCACCGGAGGGAGACCGGUUGCUACGCGCGUGAGCCCUGCCAGCCGAGAAGGCAGCUCUCGGAGACUUGUCCCAAGCAGCAUGAGACCGGUCUCCCAGGCCGCGAACAGCCCAGUGAGGGCGGUGCACAGGAUGAAACGUUGAGGGGCUAAAGUGAAUUUUGUUACAUUAGAAGGGUAUGUAGGCCCUCUCCCCCUCUCACUCUCUCUCAUUCCCAUCUCUCUCUCUCUCUCUCAUUCUCUUGCUCUAUCUCUCUAGAAGGAAAAGAAAGAGAAGACCUAGGAGAGGAAGAAGAAGGAAAAGAGAGGAGAAAAAGAAAAAAGAAAGAAAGGAGAAGAAGAAGGAGAGCAAAGAGGAGGACUUGGACCUCUCCCUCUCCCUCUCCCUCUUUUUUUCUCUUUGGAGCUAGCACAAGAGGUAAGCCCUAACCCUAGCUUUUGUAAACUUAGGGUUUUUGGGUUUUGAGCUUAGAAAUGGGUCAAAUGGACCCUUAGCAAGCUUCCAAAUAGAUCAAUCCUAAACUCUAGGGUUUUGAAAGAGAGGUUUGCUAUAGGUGCAAACCUAAGGCUCCAAAUUGGGGUCUUUGAUAAAUGAGGAGAUUGAUCUCAUUUGGUGGCUUGUAAACCUAAUUGGCGGGUGUCUAAACGCGUUGGGGAAGUCGGAAUUUCGAUUCGUCGAACGGAUAAAAACAUAUGAGCAAAAUGAUGUUGAUUAUGCUUCGUUUCGACCUAGGAGGCCGAGACUUCGAGGAAGCAAGUGCCGUGGAUCAUCCUUAGGACCUCUACGACGAAAGUAGCGAACGCGAGGUGGGGGGGUGUCAUCCCGAAGCUACCGAACCCUUUUCUAUGUCUUAGAACUAUUAGAAAUUUCAUCUCUUGCAUGUUGCAUUGUAGGGUUGCAUCGUAGUACCUUUCCUUAUGCUUUUCAAUGUUAACCUAGUGUAUAUGGAAUACUUGGUGAAAAAUGAAUAGGUAAGGAUUGGGUCGGAACAUGGAUCCUAUAGUGCUAAAAGAAAGAGAUGACUCGAGGUUAUGUGUUGACAUAGAAAAUGACAUGGUAUGUUUAAAGAACAUAGAUCGAGUGGCAUUGUAUGUUUAAAGAACAUAGAUCGAGUGGCAUUGUAUGUUUAAAGAACAUAGAUCAAGUAGCAUUGUAUGUUUAAAGAACAUAGAUCGAGUGGCAUUGACAUAGUGUACUUGACACUAGAGGUCGUGGACAUAGGGAUAGGUGAAUCCCUUAGAAAAUACCUUGUGAACAAUGAAUUUAAUUGAGCUAAAUACUGUUGCAUGUGUAUCGGAAUAGAGUUCCGAAAUAUUGUUAGCCCUAGUUUGUAGGGUAUCUUCACUUGGAGAGGAUAGAUCUACCUCACAGUCUACUACUUUGGGAUGGUAUAGCCAUUCAUAUCCUCACAUAGAGAGGAUGGUCGUCGAGUACUCCGGAGUGUCAGGCGAUAGGGACCACAUGGAGGUCCGUAGACAACCCCGGGUUUUGUGAGCACAUGGAGCUCCUCACCCAACGGGGGGUGUGCGUGAGGCGUAGGCAAACCCAAGGGUUGUGCCAUGGAUUGGGUAAAUGUAAAGUUAAUGUGUCAUCGAACAUUAUUAUCGCAUUGAACAUUGUAUAUCGAACAUGGAUCGAUUUGGUAGCAUGAUAGUAUCCUUUUACUAUGUGAUGCAUGCAUUCAUAUCUACAUGAUCAUGGGCAUAGUAGCAUAGUUUACUUUAUGCUUUUACUGCUUUGAAAUAUCAAUCUAUUUCGUUGUUGCUUAUGCCCACUUGGACCUAGUGGAGAGAUCGGCAGAGUCGGCGGCCGAGCCCACUGGGAACUAUGGAAGAUAGUUCUCACCCCACUAUAUUUUCAGUGGUAGGUACAGGUUUGCCAGGCGAGGACCGCGGCAAGGGCAUCGUGCCCGACCAGUGAGUUCGUGGUAGAUAGUAGCUUUCCUUUUUGCAUUUAGUACACCUAUGUAUUUAUGAAAGAGACUCAUGUAGGUGAGGUUGGAGAGCUAUGUAUUCGAUGAACAUGUGCCUAUUUUGAGGAAAUGAUGUAAAUGUUAAAGAUUGCAAAUUAUUGUAAUAGCUAGUAAAGUAUUCUCUUUAUUUUCACUUGUAUUUACUUGUGGAUUACUUGCUCUUUUGUUGUAGUUGGCACUAUUUGUGCCCAAGCGAUCAUAUAUGUUGAAUUUAGUUUUCCUGGGUAAAUUCUUGUAUAUGAUCAGGUUUGAGCCUUGGGCGGACAGGGGAGGUUCUAUCCGUUCGGCAUCCGCUUGCCGCGCCCGAAACGCGCCAAAUUGGUAGUGUUUUCGGGGCGGGGCGUGACAGAAGCAUUGAGAUUAGGUUGAAAUCAACAUGAAUGUACAUAUUGAUAUAGAUGUAUGUGCAUAGUGUUAGAAGUAGAAACCAGAACUUGGUUGAUCCUAUACCGUGUUUAAUUAUGUUAGUAUAUUCAGUCCAGGAAAGAGUUUAAACUAUAGAUUUUGAUUAUUAAGCCCAAAUGCUGAAAACUCGAUAUAGAACUAGUUUAUACUAUAGAUGUGUGUGUAUAUGUAUAUAUACAUAUAGAUGUAUAUGUGCCUAGUGUUAAGAUGGAAAAACUGAAUUAAGAGAGGUUGAAAUUAUGAAUUAGGAUGACUUAAUUACUGCAUAGAGAAGUUAAGCUAUGCCUAAUGCAGUUUAUAGAGUCAGAAUGAUAAUAUGUAACCUAUGGUAAGCUAUAGGUGAUAUAGUGGAUAUGUGACUUAUGAAUUAAAGUAAAACCUGUGGCAGAGCUUGUGAUGUUAACUAUUAAGAUUGAUGGUUACUACCCUAAAGAGAGUUAAUUAUGAGUUGUUUUAACUUCUGUAUCCGAACUGCCAUAGGGAAUUUAAUAGAAGAUUAUAUGUAUAGAGGUAUUGGCACUAUUCAUAUAUAUAUAUAUAUAUAUAUAUAUAUAUACUAUAUAUAUAUAUAUACUAUAUAUAUAUAUAUACUAUAUAUAUAUAUAUACUAUAUAUACAUUCAUAGAAGAAUAAAAGAUAUUAUAUUUAAGUACAUUCUUAUUUUUACAAAUUCCAUUUAACUUUAACAUAUAUAUAUAUAUAUAUAUAUAUAUAUAUAUGUUAAAGUUGAAAUGCGAAGUUUGUAAAAAUAAGAAUGUGACUUAAAUAUAAUAUCUUUUAUUCUUCUAUGAAUGAAGGUUAAACGUGCUCAGAAGCUUAGAUUGGUAUUCCGACGGUCCUACGGCGCACUAAUUACGAUAGACGUCGUUCUAGCUUUAUUCGCAUCAAGUCACGAGGACUUGAUAGUUGUGAGCUCCAAGACAUUGGUUCUAGUCUUCGGC
RNAcentral lists this long non-coding RNA (5892 nucleotides) under Ananas comosus (pineapple). RNAcentral's name for it is "long non-coding RNA (ACOM_LNC031525)". Lineage: Eukaryota; Viridiplantae; Streptophyta; Magnoliopsida; Poales; Bromeliaceae. The record is from RNAcentral.